AGAGUUUGAUCAUGGCUCAGGAUGAACGCUGGCGGUCUGCUUAACACAUGCAAGUCGAACGGAACUCUUCGGAGUUCAGUGGCGGACGGGUGAGUAACGCGUGAGAAUCUGCCUUUUGGUCGGGGACAACCACUGGAAACGGUGGCUAAUACCGGAUAAGCCUGCGGGUAAAAGAUUAAUUGCCAAGAGAGGAGCUCGCGUCUGAUUAGCUAGUUGGUGAGGUAAAGGCUCACCAAGGCGGCGAUCAGUAGCUGGUCUGAGAGGAUGAUCAGCCACACUGGGACUGAGACACGGCCCAGACUCCUACGGGAGGCAGCAGUGGGGAAUUUUCCGCAAUGGGCGAAAGCCUGACGGAGCAAGACCGCGUGAGGGAGGAAGGCUCUUGGGUUGUAAACCUCUUUUGUCAGGGAAGAACACAAUGACGGUACCUGAAGAAUCAGCAUCGGCUAACUCCGUGCCAGCAGCCGCGGUAAUACGGAGGAUGCAAGCGUUAUCCGGAAUUAUUGGGCGUAAAGCGUCCGCAGGUGGCACUUCAAGUCUGCUGUCAAAGACCGGGGCUUAACCCUGGAAAGGCAGUGGAAACUGAAGCGCUAGAGUGUGGUAGGGGUAGAGGGAAUUCCCGGUGUAGCGGUGAAAUGCGUAGAGAUCGGGAAGAACAUCGGUGGCGAAAGCGCUCUACUGGACCACAACUGACACUCAGGGACGAAAGCUAGGGGAGCGAAUGGGAUUAGAUACCCCCGUAGUCC
RNAcentral lists this ribosomal RNA (746 nucleotides) under uncultured cyanobacterium. RNAcentral describes it as "bacterial SSU rRNA". It matches the Rfam family "Bacterial small subunit ribosomal RNA", at positions 8 to 796 of the family's 1533-position model. Lineage: Bacteria; Bacillati; Cyanobacteriota. The record is from RNAcentral.